This 1400-nucleotide long non-coding RNA is filed under the name Equus asinus (donkey). Its description in RNAcentral is "lncRNA (ENSEASG00005034679.1)". The record is from RNAcentral. Lineage: Eukaryota; Metazoa; Chordata; Mammalia; Perissodactyla; Equidae.
CAGCUGCGCUUUAACGCUUAGAACCGAGAAGCGGAAGAAUCAAAAGGUUCGAAAGAAUCAAAGGACUCGAAACAAAUCAGAAGGUCCGAAAGAAUCUACCUUGGAAGAGCCAAAGGACGAGUUAGCCCUUUCCACUGGUGACGUCCUGCCUUGGCUCGAGCCCAGCGCCCCGCAAGCGGUUGAAAAGAAUGGGACCCUUGGAGUGACAGAAGGCUCACUACCUCACAAGGCAGUCCAUUCUAGUUUCUAGUUUUUGUGUUGAAAGAAUGUGUCUCCCUUAUAUUUAGCGGAAACCUGCUAUGUAGUAGGCUCCCUGUGUGUUAAUGUAUUUAUUUCUUUGGCGUCACCCAGCUUAUCUCACUGCCAGUAUAGUUCGUGUGUGUGCUUCUCUCUGCCCUCUGUAGGCAGACUUCAUUUCAUAGUUCACUUGCCCACCUCUCACACCUCUUCUGAGCGAGUUAUUUGUUUAACUGUGGCCUUAGAAUGACAUUUUAAAAGCAGAGCUGUGACAUUUCUCGAAACACUUGGUCGAGCCAGGCGUUUCAAGGUCCCUUCCUUGAACAGUGACUGAACCCUAAUAGGACUAGUAAAGAGUUCAUUCAUUCAUUUAUCAAAUAUUUAUUGAGCAGCUACUGUAUGUCAGAUCAAGGUGCUGGCAAGCAAUUCAUUCUGCUCACUUAGGGAUUGGAUCAGUUUGUGAUGUGUGACAAUAGAGAUAUGGGGGCCCAGGUGACGGAAACUUCAUUCAACCUGAGGAGGAGGUAGGGAGGAGGAGCAAGCACAUCAGGCUGCAAGACUUGAGAACAAAUACUGCAUGUUCUGGAAACUGCAUGCAGAUCAGGAUUACUGAUGUGAAGGAGCUCACAGGUGUGGAGGUGACCUGAGAGGACUCAAGCCAGAGAAGCAGGACCAGAACCCAAAGAGCCUCACAAGCAGGCUCGGAGGAGCGCUUGAGCCGAAAGACCAUGGGAAACCACUGAUGGAUUUUAAGGUCGUCUAGAAAAAUCCUUCUGACAGUAACACAGAGAAUGAAGUGGAAGCCUAAGACUCUAGACCAAGAAACGCGUAAGGAAGAUGCAAUCCAAGAACACGUGAUGAGGCUCUGAACCCUCAGGCCAGUGCCAGUGGAGGUGGAGAAAAGGAAAUGGAUACAAAAGACCCUUAGGAGGGAAAGUGGACAGGAUCUGGUGACAGAGAGAGAGGAUUGUCGGCUGACUCCAAGUUACAGCCUAAGCAAUUUGCAGGUGUUCGCUGAGGUAUACAACAGAAGAAAGGGCAGGCUUAGGUGAAGAUGAUGAGUUUAGCACAGUCACUCUGGUCCUGUGAACACUUUUUCUCCUCCAUGCCCCGUUCAAUUCAGUCUGCAUCAUACACAGCAGCUGCAACUCAUCAGAAACAAA